This 376-nucleotide ribosomal RNA is filed under the name uncultured organism. Its description in RNAcentral is "partial 16S ribosomal RNA". It matches the Rfam family "Bacterial small subunit ribosomal RNA", at positions 527 to 896 of the family's 1533-position model. The record is from RNAcentral.
GUAGGUGGCAAGCGUUGUCCGGAAUUAUUGGGGCGUAAAGCGCGCGCAGGUGGUUCUUUAAGUCUGAUGUGAAAGCCCCCCGGGCUCAACCGGGGAGGGUCAUUGGAAACUGGGGGAACUUGAGUGCAGGAGAGGAAAGUGGAAUUCCACGUGUAGCGGUGAAAUGCGUAGAUAUGUGGAGGAACACCAGUGGCGGAGGCGACUUUCUGGCCUGUAACUGACACUGAGGCGCGAAAGCGUGGGGAGCAAACAGGAUUAGAUACCCUGGUAGUCCACGCCGUAAACGAUGAGUGCUAAGUGUUGGGGGGUUUCCGCCCCUCAGUGCUGCAGCUAACGCAUUAAGCACUCCGCCUGGGGAGUACGGUCGCAAAGACUG